UCCUGGAAAUGCGCCACCGCUUGGGUUUCGCAGCCCUACUCCUCCGAGGAAUCCAUAGGUUUUUUUUAACUGUGGGAAACUGGGACACUUUGCCCGAGACUGCCGUUUUCCCAAAGCUGGGGGAAAUGCAAAUUUGAGGGCUCAAACCUCUGGUCAGGGCACCGGACAAAAAUUUGUUCAUCGCAAAUUUCUGAAUACCAAGACGGGGCAAGCUCAGUAUAUGAAUGUGGAGGAGAUUCCGGAAGGUGAACCUAUUCUGGCAGGUAUGUACCUUGUCAAUGAUUAUCCUGUCAUGAUUUUAUUUGAUUUGGAUGCAUCACAUACUUUUAUAAGUAGAGAGUUUGUUAAGCAACACCAACUAGAAGUGCACACCUUAAAUGUCAAAUACGCUAUUCAAGCUACUGGAGCUACUCAAAAUACAAAUUAGGUAGCUCGUAAUGUGACUUUGAAUUUAGAAGGGAAUAAGGUGGGUGCUUAUCCUUUAAUUCUGGAAGAUCAGGGAAUAGAUAUUAUUUUGGGGGUAAAUUGGAUGAAGGAACAUAAAGUUCAAAUCGAUAUGGAUAACCGGGUUGUUAGUAUGAGAGGUGACCAAGGCCAUCCUUUUGAGCUCCAAUUAUCCGCUCAUCCUUGUCUGGACCAGCUGGUCAAAAAGACUAGAGCAGUGACUCUAGAAUCUAUUCCCGUGGUUAAUGAGUUUGUAGAUGUGUUUCCAGAAGAUCUUCCUGGACUACCGCCUGAUAGAGCGGUAGAAUUUACUAUUGAGUUAGAACCUGGCACUGCUCCUAUCUCGAGAAGGCCAUAUCGGAUGCCGCCUAAGGAGUUAGCAGAAUUAAAAGUCCAACUCCAAGAAUUGCUAGACAAAGGUUUUGUCCGACCUAGCACUUCACCAUGGGGCUGCCCUGCUCUAUUUGUUAAAAAGAAAGAUGGCACAUUAAGGUUGUGUGUGGAUUACCGCCCUUUGAAUGCGGUAACCAUUAAAAACAAGUAUCCGUUGCCACGGAUUGACUUGUUAUUUGAUCAACUAGCUAGAGCUAAGGUCUUUUCAAAAAUCGAUCUUCGGUCAGGAUAUCAUCAGAUUAAGAUAAAGCCCAAAGACAUACCUAAAAUAGCCUUCUCAACCCGAUAUGGAUUGUAUGAGUACUUAUUUAUGUCUUUCGGACUGACAAAUGCCCCAGCGCAUUUUAUGUACCUCAUGAAUUCGGUGUUCAUGCCGGAAUUAGAUAAAUUUGUGGUCGUCUUUAUAGAUGAUAUCCUAGUCUUCUCUAAAAAUGAAGAGGAACAUGCGCAACACCUGCGUAUUGUUCUAAAUAGACUCCAGGAACACCAGUUAUAUGCCAAGUUCAGCAAAUGUAAAUUCUGGUUAAAGAAAGUUCCAUUCCUUGGGCACAUACUGUCCGAAAGGGGAAUUGAAGUAGAUCCCGAAAAAGUCAAAGACAUAUUGGAUUGGAAAUCACCAACCUCUAUUCAUGAAGUAAGAAGUUUCUUGGGAAUGGUCGGGUAUUACCGUAGGUUCAUUCGUAACUUCUCAAAAAUUUCCAAGCCAAUCACGGAAUUGUUAAAGAAAGAAGUGAAAUUCGGGUGGAAUCCCGAAUGUGAAGAAUCGUUUCAAACCCUAAAGAAGCUACUGACUACAGCUCCAGUGCUAGCUCAACCUGAUUUAGAGAAGCCCUUUGACGUGUAUUGUGACGCCUCAGGGACAGGGAUAGGAUGUGUUCUUAUGCAAGAAGGCAGAGUUAUUACUUAUGCUUCUCGUCAACUGAAGCAUCAUGAAGAGCAUUACCCUACCCAUGAUUUAGAGCUUGCUGCGAUAGUCCAUGCAUUAAAGAUAUGGCGGCACUAUCUUUUAGGUAGUGAAUGUCGUAUCUUUACUGACCACAAAAGCUUAAAGUACAUUUUCACUCAAAUGGACUUGAACAUGAGGCAGAGACGGUGGCUGGAACUAAUUAAAAAUUAUAAGCUAGAAAUCCACUACCAUCCUGGUAAGGCCAAUGUGGUGGCCGAUGCUUUGAGCAGAAAGGCCCAAUGCCACUGUACUACUGUUCAGUCUAACCUUAAGACCCUAUGUGAAGAAUUAGAAGAUUUAAGCUCGGUAAUAGUAAAAACAAGGUGCCCUCCAGAACAUUAUUGUGCAAGACACCCUAAAGGAAAGAAUUAUAAUAGCCCAAAAAGAAGAUCCUUGGAUCAAGGUGCUUUAUCAACAAAGGACAGAAGGAAAGAUUCCCGAACUCACUCAAGAAGAUGAUGGGGGACUAUAUUUCAAGAAAAGGAUAGUAGUUCCUCAGGAUGAAAAACCUAAGAAAAUUGAUCUUGGAUGAAGCACAUCUAUCUAAGUUUGCCAUUCAUCCCGAAAGUAACAAAAUGUACCAAGAUUUGAAACAAAGAUUUUGGUGGGCCAAGAUGAAACCUGAAAUUGCAGAAUAUGUAGCCGAAUGUGAUACCUGCCGGAGAGUUAAACCAAUCCUACAAAAGUUGGCGGGUUUACUUCAAGCUUCGGAAAUCCCUACCUGGAAAUGGGAGGAUGUUUCCAUGGACUUCAUAGUUGGGUUGCCUACUACUUCGAAAGGAUAUGAUUCCAUCUGGGUUAUUGUCGACCGUCUUACUAAGUCAGCCCAUUUCAUCCCCGUCAAGACUACAUAUCCAGUGUUGACAUAUGCAAAGAUCUAUAUAGCCCGGAUCGUAUCUUUGCACGGAGUACCAAGGACAAUUAUCUCCGAUCGAGGUUCCCAGUUUGUUUCCAGGUUUUGGGAACAACUACAAAAAGACAUGGGAACUACUCUAAUCAGAAGUUCAGCCUAUCAUACUCAAACCGGAGGACAGACGGAGAGAGUCAACCAAAUCUUGGAAGACAUGUUAAGAGUUUGUGUUCUUACCUUCUCUAAGCUAUGGGAUGAAUGUUUGCCCCUAGCCGAGUUCUCCUAUAAUAAUAGCUAUCAAGCUAGUAUUAAAAUGGCACCUUUCGAAGCCUUGUAUGGUCGAAAAUGCCGAACCCCCUUGAAUUGGUCGGAAGUAGGAGAAAGAACACAUUUGGGAUCAGAUUUGGUUAUGGAAACCGAAGAAAAGGUCCGGAAAAUUCGUAAACAUUUGGAAAUAGCCCAGUCUCGACGGAAGAGUUAUUCAGAUAAAAGGAGACGGUCUUUAGAAUUUCAUGUCGGAGAUUUUGUAUACUUGAAAGUAUCCCCGAUGAAAGGAGUACAACGUUUUGGAAUAAAGGGUAAAUUAGCCCCAAGGUAUAUUGGUCCUUAUGAAAUUCUGGAAUGAAAGGGUCCGGUAGCAUACAAGCUAUCGUUACCAGACCAACUUACUUCUAUACAUGAUGUAUUUCAUGUAUCCAAGCUCAAGAAGUGCUUAAGAGUUCCAGAAGAGAUUCUAGAAGAUCCAGAAAUUGAGCUCGAACCAGACCUAACCUACGAAGAAAGGCCUAUUAAAAUUCUGGAUCAAAAGACAAGAGAUACCCGAACUCGGAGUAUUACGUUUUACAAGGUACAAUGGAAGAAUCAUACUCCAAAUGAAGCUACUUGGGAACAGGCUGAAGACCUAGAGUCUAAAUAUCCUGAGCUAUUUGAAACCGUUAGGAUCAAAUGAACAGAAGCCACCACCCCACUUUCCUUGUUCAGAAAAGAGAGAUAUUUGACCUGAUGUAGUUUCCUUUCCAUUGUCAAAGCCAAGAAUUUAACCCCUGGAAUCUCGGGACGAGAUUCUGUUAAGAGGGAGAGGCUGUAACACCUGCCAUUUUAGUCAUCAAAACAAUUCAGAAGAAGUAAAGGUAAAUCAUGAAGAAAAGGAGAAGAAAUUGGCUAAAAAUCAAAUUCGGGUCAAAUUUGACCGAAAUUUGAUUUUUGAAUUCGAAAUUCAGAAAAAUUUGGCAAAAAUAUGGAAUGAAAGGAUAAGAGUGUUUAGAACUUGGAGAUCAAGAUUGGGAACAAAAUCUGGACCUAAAUAUUUCAAGAAAACCAAAAGAAGAAAUCAAAAUAGAAGAGCACUAUUCACCGUCCGACAAUAGGAUUUCAGAAAAACAGCAUAAGAGCCCAUUUUGGAAUUUGAUUUCUGCCAAAUUUUCCAAAUAAGUGGACUAAGGCAACUGUACAGUGAUGAAGUAUGGACUUUGGACCAGCAUAUUGGGGUGUUGUUGAUCAAGAACCACCAAGGGAACCAAUUUAAUUUGAGGCCUAAAGUUGGCACUCUGCCAUUUUCGGCCGAGUCACUGAAACAUCAAAAUUACCUAAGUCUGAAACAGUGAGAAAUGGCUGAGUUUGGAAUAAAUUUCAGAAAAAUAUAGUGUAAAGGGUAUAGGUGUUUAUGGGCAAAAUGGAAUCUUUGAAAGUUGUAGAACACGAAUGGAUGGAAGUUGGACUGAAAAGAAUGAGUUUGGUGCACUGAAAGUGAAUUAACAGAUGGGUACAUGGCCAUAUCAAAUGACUGACGAACUGAACUUCAAGUUCAGAGUGAUUCAGUUAAAUGGGGAAAAGAAUUCAAAAUUCGACUAUGUUAGGAUGUUUAUCUCGAGUCAGAGCAAAAAUAAAACUUGGAGAGUUCAAGUUUAUCUACAACAUUGCUUAAAGGACCGUGGAGCCGUCGGAUUCAAAAUCGACCGUGAUUUGGACCUGAACUUUCGAGCGUCAGAAACAAAGGAAGGGAGGGUGACAGAGCUGAGCACGACGUGUCACCGCCGGCGUUUUCGGUCGACCGCCAGCACAGCAGCUACGCCACCUCCUUACCACGCAAGCCUACGAGUAGGCCACGGUGUCGUUCAUGCGCCGGUGAAACUUUUGUGUAACUACCGCUCCCGCCGCCGCUCUUUUACCGCCCGUUCUUUUUACCGCCGCCGACCAAAAAUUCCACUGCUACACCUCAUCUCCCGUCGAUUCCUCUCGCCCACUCCUCCGCAGGUACCCCAGCUACACCCCAGUCAACUUGUUGCCCAGCAUCCUUGCCGGAGUACCCGUACUCGCCGUCAUUUCCGUCCGCCACCGCCGCACCUCCUGCUCACGGUGAGCACCUUCCUGCCGUUGUUCUUUUUCCUUAUGGGUAGUCGUAGGUGAGUCCUCGGGGCACUAGGAAGCCGUAGAAGUAGUCGUUGGGGUAGGCCGAGCCGUCGUCGUGCUUAGCCACGACCGGCCGUAGGCGCCGUCCGCCGCCGUGGAGGGAAUGGCUCCAGCCAUCUCCCGCGGAGUUACCGCCGCGCACGGGUGCGCUAGGGCAUGGGGAUGCUUCCCCGGCCUAGCCCCAUCGCCGGUGGGGCGCCGGCCGGCGAGCCGCACCGCCCCCUGUUGCGCUCGGGUUUUGGCGGAAGGAGGAAGAAGGCUCUGGUGCUGCGGGCCCGCGCGUCAGAGAGGAGAGGAGAGGGAGGAGGCAGGCCGGACGAUGGCUUAAGUGGACCGAGGGUCCAGUCGGCCCAAGUAUCGGUGCGGGGAGGGGCCGUUGGAGGAAAAAGGCCGGAGGCUGUGAAGUCCAACAGGCCGGUAGGCCGGUAAGGCGGGCCAGCAGCUGCGCGAGAGAAGAAAAAGGAAGGGUGGGCCGUUGGGCCGCUGCCGGGUGGAGAAAGGAAAAAGAAAAAGAAAACGGCCCAGUAGGCCCAGUAGAGGUAUAAGAGGCCGGCGGGUAGGACGAAUACGAGAAGGGGGUGGUCCGAGCCGCGGGCCCAGCAUAAGAGAGAGGCGGUAGAGUUAGGGUGCGUGAGAAAAGUAGGCCGGGGAGUUUUCCGGGAAAAAUUUAGAUUUCCUUUGUAGAAUAAAUAGAUUAAAUCCAAAUCUCACCAUUUAAAUCACAGAAAUUUCUAGGGGUGUCCAAAAUUAGUGAAACCAAUUUUGUUAGGCUUAUUUUAUUUUACUUUAUACAUUAAAAUUUUUAUACCCUAGGAAAAAUAAUAAAAAUUUGGGUAUUUAUUUAAUGCCUUUCUUUUAAGGUAUUUAAAUAAAUACUUAAUCUUUAGCAAAUGCAUAAAAUAUGGAAUAACAUUUCAUAAUCACAAAUUAUUGUUAACUCAUAGGAAAUUAGGUUUUAAGGCUAGAAAAUAAUUAUAACAUUUUAUAAAAAGAAAAGAAAAGGCCCUAGGUAAGGUUAGUAAAGGAAAUAAAAUUGUUAGGCUAAUCUUUUCGGGUUUUUGUGUGUUGGCUUGCAACUUUAUCAUGAUAAAUUGUAUAGUCCUUGUUGGCUUGCAACUUUAUCAUGAAGGGAAGUUGUAUAGUCUUGUAUUCAAAAAGUUGCAUUCUUAACCCCUGCAUAUGCUUUGUCAUAGACACCGAAGCACCGGAAAGGG
This 6256-nucleotide long non-coding RNA is filed under the name Setaria italica (foxtail millet). RNAcentral describes it as "long non-coding RNA (SITA_LNC007099)". The record is from RNAcentral. Lineage: Eukaryota; Viridiplantae; Streptophyta; Magnoliopsida; Poales; Poaceae.